Molecule: ribosomal RNA, 425 nt
Filed under: Babesia canis
Lineage: Eukaryota; Apicomplexa; Aconoidasida; Piroplasmida; Babesiidae
Description: SSU rRNA
Rfam family: Eukaryotic small subunit ribosomal RNA
Source: RNAcentral
GGUGCCAGCAGCCGCGGUAAUUCCAGCUCCAAUAGCGUAUAUUAAACUUGUUGCAGUUAAAAAGCUCGUAGUUGUAUUUUUGCGUUGACGGUUUGACCAUUUGGUUGGUUAUUUCGUUUUCGCUUUUGGGAAUUUCCCUUUUUACUUUGAGAAAAUUAGAGUGUUUCAAGCAGACUUUUGUCUUGAAUACUUCAGCAUGGAAUAAUAGAGUAGGACUUUGGUUCUAUUUUGUUGGUUAUUGAACCUUAGUAAUGGUUAAUAGGAACGGUUGGGGGCAUUCGUAUUUAACUGUCAGAGGUGAAAUUCUUAGAUUUGUUAAAGACGAACUACUGCGAAAGCAUUUGCCAAGGACGUUUCCAUUAAUCAAGAACGAAAGUUAGGGGAUCGAAGACGAUCAGAUACCGUCGUAGUCCUAACCAUAAACU